CCUCUUUCAUCGCGGGCCGCCCUUGCCUAUAUUCGGGGGGCCGGUUCACGCCGGCUAUGGCGAUAAACGGUUGUCGGAAUAAGCCUUUCGGACCCGGGGGCAGUACCCGGCGCCUCCACCAAAGCCCAGCGGCACCGCCUGCUGGGCUCCGGCGGGGGCGAAACAGGAUCGACGAGGGUGUAAAGGGCUGUCUUUCGCUCGGCAUGGUUCCGCCGAUAUCGGGCCGACCUAUAGUUGCGAAUGACAACUAUGCUCCGGUUGCUCAGGCCGCGUGAGCGGUUUGACGAUCGAAAUCAAAGUCCUACCGGGUAGCACUGGAUAGGCGGGGUUCGGAGGCACCUGGCAACAGAAGCCUCCACU
This 360-nucleotide transfer-messenger RNA is filed under the name Hyphomicrobiales bacterium. Its description in RNAcentral is "Rhizobiales bacterium (seawater metagenome) transfer-messenger RNA". It matches the Rfam family "Alphaproteobacteria transfer-messenger RNA". From Rfam's summary of the family: Bacterial tmRNA, also known as 10Sa RNA or SsrA, is named for its dual tRNA and mRNA-like properties. Its role is to liberate the mRNA from a stalled ribosome. Lineage: Bacteria; Pseudomonadati; Pseudomonadota; Alphaproteobacteria; Hyphomicrobiales. The record is from RNAcentral.